This is a non-coding RNA of Acanthosepion pharaonis, 106 nucleotides long. Lineage: Eukaryota; Metazoa; Mollusca; Cephalopoda; Sepiida; Sepiidae. The record is from the annotation of a GenBank genome assembly.
CACAUCACGUUGUAACACCGGUUCCUGUAAGAUCACAGAAGUUAAGCAACGGUGAGAGUGUUAAGUACCCAGAUGGAUGACCGCUUCGAAAAAGCAGGUGCUGUAA